Molecule: ribosomal RNA, 589 nt
Filed under: Escherichia coli
Lineage: Bacteria; Pseudomonadati; Pseudomonadota; Gammaproteobacteria; Enterobacterales; Enterobacteriaceae
Description: partial 23S ribosomal RNA
Rfam family: Bacterial large subunit ribosomal RNA
Source: RNAcentral
AGAUUAAGUUAUUAAGGGCGCACGGUGGAUGCCUUGGCACUAGAAGCCGAUGAAGGACGUUACUAACGACGAUAUGCUUUGGGGAGCUGUAAGUAAGCUUUGAUCCAGAGAUUUCCGAAUGGGGAAACCCAGCAUGAGUUAUGUCAUGUUAUCGAUAUGUGAAUACAUAGCAUAUCAGAAGGCACACCCGGAGAACUGAAACAUCUUAGUACCCGGAGGAAGAGAAAGAAAAUUCGAUUCCCUUAGUAGCGGCGAGCGAAACGGGAAGAGCCCAAACCAACAAGCUUGCUUGUUGGGGUUGUAGGACACUCUAUACGGAGUUACAAAGGACGACAUUAGACGAAUCAUCUGGAAAGAUGAAUCAAAGAAGGUAAUAAUCCUGUAGUCGAAAAUGUUGUCUCUCUUGAGUGGAUCCUGAGUACGACGGAGCACGUGAAAUUCCGUCGGAAUCUGGGAGGACCAUCUCCUAAGGCUAAAUACUCUCUAGUGACCGAUAGUGAACCAGUACCGUGAGGGAAAGGUGAAAAGCACCCCGGAAGGGGAGUGAAAUAGAACCUGAAACCGUGUGCUUACAAGUAGUCAGAGCCCG